RNAcentral lists this long non-coding RNA (9567 nucleotides) under Ananas comosus (pineapple). RNAcentral's name for it is "long non-coding RNA (ACOM_LNC005489)". The record is from RNAcentral. Lineage: Eukaryota; Viridiplantae; Streptophyta; Magnoliopsida; Poales; Bromeliaceae.
UAAUGUUCUUCAUGAUGGCGUUGUGGAUUCGGCGUGAUUGACGGCGGUUCGUGGAUUCGGAUCGUGGGCUCGUGGAUUCGAGUGGCGUUCGUGGAUUCGGACGUGUGCGAGGCGUUCGUGGAUUCGAACGUGAGGGCGUGGACAACCCGGAGGAUUGCGCGAGGUUCAUAGGAGGUUAAGAGAGGUUGAGUCUGUGGAGUCGGUAAUCACCUUGUAAUCUUUUCUCUUAGUGAAUUAUUUUUUCGCGUGUUGGUCCCGUGGGUUUUUCUCCAAGUUGGAGUUUUCCCACGUAAAUCUCGGUGUGCUUUUUAUUUUCCGCAUUUAUUUUUAUUGCAUCGAGAUUUGUGGUUUUUGGCCGUUACACCUAUUCACCCCCCCCUAGGUGAUAGAUACAAUCUAGAUAGAUCCUUGGGCUCCUCAAAACUUUCAAUUGGUAUCAGAGCAGGAUCUAGAUAAAUUGUUAUCUAUUGGCCGAAGGCGGAAACAUUAAUCGACCACCGCUCUUCGACGGCACAAAUUAUGCCUAUUGGAAUGUUCACAUGAGAGCUUUUCUAAUCGCUAUCGAUGAGCACGUUUGGCAAUCAAUAGAAUUUGGAUGGAAACAUCCUAUUGAAAAGGUCGAGAAUGUUGAAACGCCAAAACCACGGAACAAGUGGACGAAAGAUGAAAAUGAGGCAUCUUCAUUUAACGGCAAGGGCAUAAAUGCUUUAUUUAAUGCAUUGUCCCAAACGGAGUUUACUCGUGUUUCGGCGUGUGAAACCGCCAAGGAGAUUUGGGAUACUCUACAAGUUACACAUGAAGGAACGAGCUUAGUAAAGGUCCAAAAAUUGCAAAUGCUAACAAGCAAGUUUGAUUCUAUUUCUAUGGAUAAAAACGAGACCUUUACCGAGUACUAUACGCGUCUACAAGAUGUUGUGAAUACAUGUGCUAACUUGGGAGAAAAAAUUCCGGAUUCAAAGGUUGUUAGAAAGAUUCUUCGAACUCUUCCAGAACGCUUUCGGGUAAAAGUUGCCGCGAUCGAAACCGUUAAGCAUCCGGACGAGAUGAAAGUCGAAGAGUUAGUAGGCGCUUUACAAACGUAUGAGAUGACUUUUCCUACUAAUCAAUCUUCUUCCAAGUCUUUUUCUAAAAGCACAGGGGUUGCAUUAAAGUCGACGAAGGAGGAAGAUAAGGAUUCAAAUUUCGAUGAAGAUAUAUCGCUUGCUGAUUUCGAACAUCAACUUGCACUAUUAACGAAGAAGUUUUGUCGAAACUUUCGGAACAAGCACAAGUUUGACAAGGCUACAUGGUCUAAGCAACAAACGUUUUGUAAGUCUUCAUCUUCUAACGAGAAGAAGCAUGCAAAGGCUUGAAAAUAAAAGGAUGUAUUUGAAGGCGAGAUCCGAUGCUACAAGUGCAAAGGCUACGGCCACAUCGCAACGGAUUGUCCUUCAAAGAAAUUGUAUACUAAGAAGGCAUUGCAAGCAAAGACGUGGGAUGAUACAACUUCAAGUGAAUCAAGCUCAAGUGACGAAGAAAGAAUGGAAAUCUUGCUUUAUUUGCUAAAUCUACCUUGCCUUCGUCUAACGUUGUUUGUUUAUCCUCUAUUGCUACUAAUUCCAAUAUUUCCCUUUCUUCGCAUGAUUCUUCGAGCAACAAUGGCGAAAGCGAGGAGGAAUCAAACGACGACGACAUAGCGGAAGCAUACAAUCAACUUCUUAUUGAAUCAAAGAAGAUGGCUAAACUUAAUAAGAAGUUGAGACGUCGUUUGUUGAAUCUCGAAGAGAAAAACAACAACUUAACGAUCACGAACAAAGCCCUCGAGGAGGAAAGGGAAUCAAUUUUGAAAAAUAAUUCGGACCUCCAAGAGAAGCUUAAUGAAGCAGAAUCAACAAUCAAAUCCUCUAAAGACAAGAUUGGAUUUUUUGAGCAUCAAUUUGAGGAAACCUACACAUUCAAUCAAUCCUUGACCAACCAAGUUCGACAACUCAAAUCCGACAUACUAAAGUUCUCAUCGGGAUCGAAGAAAUUAGAUCAUAUGCUCGGGUUGGGUCAAACGGAUAAGUUAGGCUUCGGAUACGAAAGAGUUUUUGUUGAGAAGGGUUCUAAAUCAACUUUGAAAGUCUCGGCAACUUUGAAAGACAAGGCGUGUCAUCGAUGUGGCGUCAAAGGACACAUCAAAAGGAAUUGCCCAAACAAAGAAAAGAUGAAUCGAUCGACAAGGUCUUCACAUCGAUCAACAACUUCUAAACUCCAAGCAAAUCGGUUUUCUUAUGUGCAACACCAAAUCCGACAGAACCCAAAAGCUAAUCGGAUUUCUAAACCUCAACGACAAAUUCAAACAAAGCCUCAAGCGAAGAAACCACCAACGGUUGAUCAAAAAUCUAAGCAAACGGCACCAAACGUCGACAAGCCGAGAAAAUCAAAGAUCCGACAAGUUUGGAUCCGGAAAGGUGAUAUCUUUCAUUGCUUCUCGUCUUAGUUGUUUUCUUGUGUAGUGCUUUGAUAGGUGCUUAUUGCUUAUUUUUAUUCAUUGCAUUACAUGUUUAAAUUUUUUUUUUUGUGCUUUGAAUUUUGUUUGUUUACAAAAUUAUUUUGAGGAAAGGUGUUUAGGAAUUCAAAAUUUUUAAGAAAGGAGAUGAUUGAAAAUCAUUAUUUUGAAGUGAGAAAUUUUUUCAAAGUCGCUUAAACGGUGUUUAACUUCACAAUCAUAUUAAGUUAAAUUCAUAUUAAUUAUCAUUUUUACUCCACUUUUUAUUAUUUUGAAGAUAAUUUGAUAUAUGAUUUCUCAAUACAUAUAUUCAUCAAAAUUUUGAAAUCAAAUUUGAUCUCUUGGUGAUUAAUCUAUCUCGGUUGUGUGUAUUGAAUAUGAUAGAUGGAUAUUUGCUAAUAGACUAAAAUUUGUCAAAAUAUUUUCAAUUGUGAGAUUGUCUAAUUUAGGGGGAGUUUGAAUUUAUUAAAAAAAAGGGAGAAAACUCCUAUGUUUAAAAAGAUGUGGAAAGAGUUAUAUCCAAAAAGAGUGUGAAAACUACCACCACAUGUAGGAAAGAGCUACCACCCCGGUCGUCCGGCAAGUGUGUGAAGCUACCACAUGAAGAUUGAGUUGAAUAACCGAAAAGGUUGAGAAAAAUUUGAAUAUUUUAGAAUUUUCGGAGUUAUAAGGUGAUAGAUUGAAAAUGAUGCUCAAAGAGCCACCCCCGGUAUCAUAUUAAUUAAAUUUCUAUUUUGAACGGAUUGUAACAAAUUGGUGUCAAUUUUGUCGAAUUUCUAAAAAUUAUUUUUCGUGAACCAUUACAUCUUGAUGAUUUUGAAACUUGAGGUCAGUUUUUAUAAUGAAAUUUUGAUGUCUCGAUGCAUUUUGAAAUCUUAUAAUAAUUUAUUCUCAUUUUAAUGAUUUUUGGAGUAAAAUCCUUAAUUUAUAUGAAAUUAAUUUAACUUGAUGGAUUUUUAAAGUAAAUUUUUCGAAAUCUGGGGAUGUGUACCGGUACACAAUCCCGUGUACCGGUACGGUUACUGUAGCCGCGGAAAUAUAACCGGUUACAGGGCUUUAUUUCUCACUCAAAUCAAAACCAAACUUCGCUCUUUCUCUCUCUAAAAAUCCCUAGUGCUUUCCUCUUCCAGAUCUACAUGAUUUCCCUCAGAAAUUUGUGAGUAUUUAGCUUGGAUUUAAUCAUUACAUCGCGUUCAUGCCUAUUUUUCGAAAAUAUUCCGAGUUGAAGCUAGAUUUCUAUUUUGAUUUAUUUUUGAUGCAAUUUUUUGCUGUAGAUCAGUGUUUAAUGACAUUAUCUUGCUUCUAGAACACUUGAAUCACAUCAAAACACAUUAUUUUUUGCUGAUCUAUUUUCUAAGUUCAAUUUGCAUGUAAUUUCGGAAUUUUUGAUAAAAUGUCAUUUUUGAUAAAAAAAAUUUUCAUGAUCUGGUUAGAAAUAGCAUUUGUAUGCAUUCUAAUGUUAUUAGAAAUCUUUUCGCUAUUUUUACAGAUUUUUUCAAAGUUUUGUUCAUGCAAGGUUAAUUUUUGUAUAGAAAAAAUGACGUUUCACUUGUGUUGAUGAUUUUGGUGCUGAUGGCCGCAAGACGUGAUUGAGGUGGUGGUAGAGGUCGUCGUGGGGCCUCUAAGAGGACACGUACAGCUGAAGAAGCAUCCGGAUCUGAUCCGGAUUAUCAGGCAAGCUCCCCGGAAGAGGCUGAAGAACCUGUUGCUCGUCUUGACAAGGGCAAAGGAAUAGCUGGAGAAUCCUCGCGUGGCGGUGGUUCUCGUGCAAGAGAAACUCGGUCGAAGCAUGCCGCGGAUGUUCCCCCAGAGCGACGGAGGAUGUUCAUGAGCAAGUCUUGUAUUGGAGAGCAUUAUGUCAACUUCAAUGAUCUUAUACAUGACGUUCCUGACUUUAGGCGACUACUUCAGCGGGUUCCUAUUGAGCCAGUUGGUAGGGUUCCUGCUCGGGCUCCUUUUUGUGUGGAACUCAUUCGUGAGUUCUAUAUGAACGGGAAGGUACUUGCAGAAGAUGAAGAGACCGGGACUUUUCUUUUUGAGACAGUUGUGCGUCAGCAGAAGGUUGUCGUUACCCCAUAUACUAUUGGAGAGCUUUUGGGGAUGAAUGUAGACACUACUGGUCUUCUUUAUACAUCAGGAGGAUUUCAAUUAUCAUCUCACUGGGAUAUAGUUGUAGCAGCUAUCUGCAAAGUUGGAGUGCAAACGAAUCGAGCUUAUGUAGAGUCCAAGGAUUUGCGACCAGAGUAUCAUCUGCUGUCCUUGGUCUUGAGCUACAAUGUACAACCAACGAUUGGAACAAAAAGGAUUCGUUGGGAUCGUUUGCUUCUACUGUUUCUACUUGGUCACCCGGAGCAAGUAUAUGGAUUGAACAUCAACAUUCCUUUUCUGAUGUGGCAGCGGAUGAUUCAUGUCAUUCAGGCUUCUGCUUGACGGGAUCUACUUCCAUUUCCUCUUUUGAUCACGAGGAUUCUGCAAGAUAAUGGAGUGGAUGUUUCUUGCGAGAAGUAUGAUUUUGGUCUUGGUCCAAUCGAUGCUGUUACCUAGGCCAAGUUGGUCAGCACUCUAAAGACUUUUCAGCAAACAAAAGGACCCUCGCGAGCAGCUCCUAGCCAGGCACCUCCACCACGUGCAGAGCGUGAGGGAUCUUCCAGUUCAGGGGGAGAAUCACUUCGCCAUGAAGUACGAUCUUUGAAGAAGAAACUGGCAGAUCUUGCUAGAAAGGUGGAAGUGGGUAUGAAGAGGAUGAUGGACAAAUUAGGAUGUAGGCAUUAUGAUAUUUUUCCGACUCAGCCUGUCUAUACGAGGUCUACUUCGCGACAUCCUCUUAUUCGUCCAUUUACUGGAGCUUCAAAUACGGGAGGUUCUGGAGCUGGCGCUGGAGCUGAUGAUGAUGAUGACGAGGACACAGAGUGAUUUCUUUGUCGAGCUUAGUCUUUCUCUUUCACUGUAUUUGCUGUUUAGGGUGAUGUUUUAGUUUAGUUUUUCUUGCUUAUCUUUUUUUGGCAUGUUUUUAUUUUUGUUUUAGGCCUGUAACUAUGACUUGACUACUCUUUUGCUUCUUAGUGUAUUUCCUAUCUAUAUGCUUUCUUUUGGCAAUUUUUGACAAAAAGGGGGAGAUCAUAAGAAGAACGGGUAUUGAUCAAAGCAGAGCAAUGGAGAGGAUGAUGAACAAAGGGGGAGAAGGAUCGACAAAGUGGGAAAAGGAUCGAGUACAAUAAGAACGUUGAGAGAACAUGAAUUGAAUGUAAGAUUUCUAUAUCUUUUUGAUUGAUCUGUUUUGCAGGACUUCAAGACUUCAAGACUCCUAGUUGCGUCUAAGUCAUAGAGUCUGUUUUAGGAGUUUAUGAUGUACUUUUGAGUUUCAAAUUGUAUUUGGACUACAUGCGAGGGGUUCGAUGUUUUGGUGAUGACAUUGAACUUUAUUUUUUUCUUUAAAUUGUAAUUUUUGAGUUUGUGUGAGUUUUGUCACGAAAUUGCUAAAGGGGGAGAUUGUUAAGUCUUGUGUGUUGGCAAGUUUCGUGAAGUGAGUUGGAGUCUUGAAGAAUCGGUGAGUGUCGUCAAAGAUUGAAGAAUUCAAGAUUUCGAAAAAGUUGGAAAGUAACUCACGAUGUGAAUCACGACGUAAAGGUAAUGUGUUAAGUCAUGUUAUGGUGAUUCAUACUUAGUUAUAGGCAUUAGAAUCAUUAUUAUUGAUGUUUAGCUGAUUAGAAAGAGCUUCGGAACUCUGCAGAACCCGAAACAGUGCAAAAGUGUGAAAAAUUGUCACACCCCGGGACCCAGCGGAAGCUCGCUCGGCGCGUGUCCAGACCCGCCGUACGUCUAAAACAUACAAGACGUCUAAGAUAAAGCGGUAAAAAAGCAAUAAAGAGAAAGCAUCUAAGUGUAUCACAGCAAGAAUACAACGAAGUGCUACAACAAGAAGAAGAACAUGAUGCUGAAAACCCACUAAGUAAAACAUAAGGUAAUACAAAAGGAGUCCCAUAACAAGUACUAGUCUAAAUACAAGGUGGUCUCUCUAUACAUGGUGCAAAAUCUCUCCUCCUCCUCUCAACACAAACAAAGAAGGAGUAACCACCUAAAGCAAAACGGACUCUCUCUCCGAGCUAACUACGCGACACCCUUGCCGUGGUCCCGUGCCUCCGCCUGUGCCGAAGGCUCUGAAAAGAAAACAUAGAAACAGGGGCGUGAGAACUAUUAAAUAAUAGUUCCCAGUGGGCAAUUACUGACUUCAGUGAAUGCGCCACUAGGCCCAAAGGCUACAACAAAAGGGUCAGUAUACAAGUAUAAGCCAAAGCAAUAAGAACAGCUAGGAAAUAAAUAUAAAUACUAUUUAACCAUGAUGUCUCUACUUAGCAUGAUUUGCAUAAGUAAGAAGGCAGUUACUACAAGUAUGUGCACCAGAGUAUCCAACAUGCAAAUGCAUAAGUAUACAACUAAUCCAAUGUCCACAAUGUAAAUAGUAAAAAUGUCAUUGUUUACUAUUCUAGUCAAUGUCCACUUGUCACUUUAAAUGUUUACGGUUCAACUUUGAUAAGACCCACCCGAAGGCUGUCUGGCAUAAGACCCACCGGAAGGCUGUCUGGUUUUACCGUGCCUAAUGGCCCCGUGAUAGUCAACAUCCCCACCGUAGGAAUGAGCCUUUCCCACGGCAAUCCACUUCGGCGCCCAGUCCUGCACGGCGAACGUAUCGCGAUGGCCAACUCCGGAGUGCCGGCUUGUAGGGAGCGACCCUCACAAGCAUGUGCGAAUGAGCACAAUGGCAAGCAUGCGUAUAAGUCUGUCUCAAGUACCAAGUUCUCAUGUCUAUGAACAUGGAAUGUAUCGAAUAUCACAAAGGCCUAUCACUAUGUCAUCAUGUCUCUAACAUGAAAUAUAGUCGAUGUCCAAUGGCCUAUUACUAUGUCUCUAUGUUGCAUUUUCAUAGUUUACUAGUUUCAAGUGCCUCUUUAUGACACUAUUGUUCAAUGAGUCCAAGCAUGGUAUCUAAGUUCAUGAAUACAUAAUUCUACUCAUUUCAAACAUAAGAGACAUGUUCUCAACUUACAAGGUCAACUACCCUUCACAAUGCAUGCAGUCUACACAUAUGGCUCUACUAUAUAGAGUGCAAUUUCAUGAUACAUAUAGCAUGCAUUUCAAGUGUUUUAAAAUUCACAUAAAUCAUGUUUAACAUGGAUUUGCAUUCAAAAAUACUUUACGACAAGUAUAGAAACAUAGGGGGGCCAUUUUGCCCCAUGCUCAUGAAGCCAAACCCACCGAGAUACCGAAACCCUUCGUAAGCUCCGAUGAAGGUGUCGACUAGUCUCCUAGCAUCCUAAAGAUGUAGGAACAAGGGUCAAACAAAACUCACGAUCAACCCUAAACUCAAUCCAAAAGCAAUAUAGGCUAAGGUGGAGAAAACUCACCUAGGUGAAGAAACCCUCUCUCAAGCUCCAAAAGGGAGUUAGAGUUCUUCAAAUCCAAUCCAAAUAAAGGUUCUAAACCCAUCAAUUAGGUUUCAAAGCCCUCAAAUCAAAAAUACCCAAAACAAACCCUAAAUCCCAAAAUCUAGGGUUUCAUCUAGUAAAAUCUAGAAAAACUUGUAUUAAAUGGAGAAUACAAGCAACCAACCUCAAGAGAAGCUUCAAUCCAAGCUCUAGACUAAGUAGAGUUAAAGUUUGAUCCUCCACAAAGCUUCAACCGCAAGCUCCAAGCCACCAAAGUGAGAAAUGAGGAAGAAGAUGAUGCUCCAAGGCCUCCAAGCAAGAUUCUCUCCUUCUUCUCCAACUCCUUCUUCUUCUCCUUCUCUUUCUCUCUCUAGGGUGCAAAAGGGUUGAGAGAAAUGAGGAAAAGAGAGAGGAGAAAGGCUCUCUAUAGCCUUUAAAGUAACAAAAUCCUGAUAAGCCCCUCAAAAAUUCACUCUGUGCACUGCUCGGUCUGGGCAGAUUUCGCGCUGAGCGACCGGUCUCUCCCUGCAUGGGAUCGGUCUCUCGUGUCGAACCCGAAAAACCAACGUUCGGGAAUCGGUCUCUCCCCGCCAGGGACCGGUCUCUCAGACCCUUCUCGCAAAACACGCGCUCGGGAACCGGUUUCUCCCAGCCAGGGACCGGUUGCCUCAAGUCCUGCUGCAGCACUGCGCUGAGGGGACCGGUCUCUCCUAUCAGGGACCGGUCCCCGAGAGUGAAAACUCUCAGGACUAAGUCAAAACUCUAGAGAUCGAACCUUUAGGCCGGAAUACCAUCUACGGCCUUCCACCAAGUGUGGAAAAGUUCGAAGUACACAUCAAACACUCGAACCUCGCAAUUUGUAAAGGUCCAGUGCGCUACAAAAAUGCACUGUGUACCGGUACAGCAAUUGACCCGUACCGGUACAGCCAUCAACUUUGGUUUCGCAGAUUUUUGUUCCGUCAUCGUGUAACCGGUGACAGCCUUUCGUGUACCGAUACACUUUGUAAAAUCGUGAAAACUUUCUAAUCCGACUCCGUUUUAUUCUAAAGUCUAUAAAUAAGCUAUUGGGGUUCUUUAACAGAUCAAGCAUCACGAAAAUACAUAUUUGAGAAACCCUAGAUGCUCGGAUUUCAUCUAAAACCUAUUUUCUACAUAAAGCCUCUUUUAGGUCAAAUCGAGAUUUUGGAUUUUGAUAUCAAUAUGUCGAAUUGAUCUUCGUUUUGCUUGGAGUUCUCUUCUCUGGUUUUCAUCGAUACUCUAAGCGAAGGAUCACCAUACACAUGAUGUUCUUCAUGAUGGCGUCGUGGAUUCGGCGUGAUUGACGGCGGUUCGUGGAUUCGGAUCGUGGGCUCGUGGAUUCGAGUGGCGUUCGUGGAUUCGGACGUGGGCGAGGCGUUCGUGAAUUCGAACGUGAGAGCGUGGACAAUUCGGAGGAUUGCGUGAGGUUCAUAGGAGGUUAAGAGAGGUUGAGUCUGUGGAGUCGGUAAUCAUCUUGUAAUCUUUUCUCUUAGUGAAUUAUUUUUUCGCGUGUUGGUCCCGUGGAUUUUUCUCCAAGUUGGAGUUUUCCCACGUAAAUCUCGGUGUGAUUUUUAUUUUCCGUAUUUAUUUUUAUCGCAUUGAGAUUUGUGGUUUUUGGCUAUUACACCUAUUCACCCCCCUCUAGGUGUUAGAUAU